RNAcentral lists this ribosomal RNA (489 nucleotides) under uncultured Gammaproteobacteria bacterium. Its description in RNAcentral is "bacterial SSU rRNA". It matches the Rfam family "Bacterial small subunit ribosomal RNA", at positions 30 to 514 of the family's 1533-position model. The record is from RNAcentral. Lineage: Bacteria; Pseudomonadati; Pseudomonadota; Gammaproteobacteria.
AUUGAACGCUGGCGGCAGGCCUAACACAUGCAAGUCGAGCGGAUGAGAAGAGCUUGCUCUUCGAUUCAGCGGCGGACGGGUGAGUAAUACCUAGGAAUCUGCCUGGUAGUGGGGGACAACGUUUCGAAAGGAACGCUAAUACCGCAUACGUCCUACGGGAGAAAGCAGGGGACCUUCGGGCCUUGCGCUAUCAGAUGAGCCUAGGUCGGAUUAGCUAGUUGGUGAGGUAAUGGCUCACCAAGGCUACGAUCCGUAACUGGUCUGAGAGGAUGAUCAGUCACACUGGAACUGAGACACGGUCCAGACUCCUACGGGAGGCAGCAGUGGGGAAUAUUGGACAAUGGGCGAAAGCCUGAUCCAGCCAUGCCGCGUGUGUGAAGAAGGUCUUCGGAUUGUAAGCACUUUAAGUGGGAGGAAGGGCAGUAAGCGAAUACCUUGCUGUUUUGACGUUACCGACAGAAUAAGCACCGGCUAACUCUGUGCCAGCAC